Molecule: ribosomal RNA, 447 nt
Filed under: Amanita gemmata
Lineage: Eukaryota; Fungi; Basidiomycota; Agaricomycetes; Agaricales; Amanitaceae
Description: mitochondrial SSU rRNA
Rfam family: Bacterial small subunit ribosomal RNA
Source: RNAcentral
AAAAGUGAUAAGGUAAGGGAAAAAACUGAUGUUACCUUACUAUUAGUGUUGUCCAAAUCUGGUGCCAGAAGACUCGGUAAGACCAGAAACGCAAACGUUAAUCGUCCUUAUCAGGCGUAAAGGGUUUGUAGGCUGCUUUUAAUACUUCUAUUUAAAAAAGCUCUGAUAAAAUCAGUUAAAUAGGGAAAAAAUAAAAGCUAGAAUCAAAUAGAGGAUAAGCCGAAUAAUACUUAGAGUAGGGAUGAUAUCCUUAGAUACUAAGUGGAAUACUAAAGGUGAAAGCUUUUAUCUACUAAUGAUUGACGCUGAGAAACGAAGGUGAGAAUAGGAAAUAGGAUUAGAUACCCAGAUACCUCUCACUGUCAACGAUGAAUGGUGGUUUGUUAGUUUUAAUAAAAACUGAUAACGAUGCUAACGCGAUAACCAUUCCGCCUUGCGAGUACGGUU